This 495-nucleotide ribosomal RNA is filed under the name uncultured bacterium. RNAcentral's name for it is "bacterial SSU rRNA". It matches the Rfam family "Bacterial small subunit ribosomal RNA", at positions 8 to 518 of the family's 1533-position model. The record is from RNAcentral.
AGAGUUUGAUUAUGGCUCAGGAUGAACGCUGGCGGCGUGCCUAACACAUGCAAGUCGAACGGUUAAGCCGGCUUCGGCCGGGCAUACAGUGGCGAACGGGUGAGUAACACGUGACCAACCCGCCCCCCGCACCGGGACAGCCCCGCGAAAGCGCGGUUAAUACCGGAUACGCCCCUCCCCGCGCAUGCGGGAGGGGGGAAAGCCCAGGCGGCGGGGGAUGGGGUCGCGGCCCAUCAGGUAGUAGGUCGGGUAGAGGCCGACCUGGCCGACGACGGGUAGCCGGGUUGAGAGACCGACCGGCCACAUUGGGACUGAGAUACGGCCCAGACUCCUACGGGAGGCAGCAGUGGGGAAUAUUGCGCAAUGGGGGCAACCCUGAACCGCAGCAACGCCGCGUGCGGGACGAAGGCGUCCGCGUCGUAAACCGCUUUCAGCAGGGAAGACAUCGACGGUACCUGCAGAAGAAGCCCCGGCUAACUACGUGCCAGCCGCCGC